GCCCGCCGCCCGCCGCCGCCCGGCAGGCCGCUCCAGGCACCUGGAUGAACUGGAUGUUCGAUCAAAUGUAGCAGGCAUCACAGCUCAAUGUAGGAUGGGAGAAACAAAGUAAGAAGUUUGACUACCGUAAGACUGCCAUGCUAGAGAGGCCACAUGUAGACAUGCCAGUCAAAAGUCCAGCUGAGCUCCCACCAGAUCACCAGCAUCAACUGCCAGCCAUCUGAGUGAGACACCUGGGACACCCAACCUAGCCUAAUCCAGCCUUCUAAUGACUGCAUCCCCUGCUGGCACCUGGCUGUAACUACUGAGAGACCCCAAGCAGGAACUGCCCAGCCCAGCCCUACCUGAAUUCUUGAUGCAGAAAAUCAUGAGUAAAGUAAAAUUGUAAGCUGUU
This is a non-coding RNA of Microcebus murinus (gray mouse lemur), 394 nucleotides long. The record is from RefSeq and is a predicted model, not a curated record. NCBI's taxonomy places the organism in Eukaryota, Metazoa, Chordata, Mammalia, Primates, Cheirogaleidae.